Molecule: ribosomal RNA, 253 nt
Filed under: uncultured bacterium
Lineage: Bacteria
Description: partial 16S ribosomal RNA
Rfam family: Bacterial small subunit ribosomal RNA
Source: RNAcentral
UACGUAGGAGACGAGCGUUGUCCGGAGUUACUGGGCGUAAAGGGUGCGCAGGCGGCCUGGCGCGUCGCGAGUGAAAUCUCCUGGCUCAACUGGGAGGGUGGUCGCGAGACGGCUGGGCUUGAGGCUCGGUGAGGGGCGUGGAAUUCCGGGUGGAGCGGUGAAAUGCGCAGAGAUCCGGAGGAACACCGACGGCGUAGGCAGCGCCCUAGACGAGACCUGACGCUCAGGCACGAAAGCGCGGGGAGCGAACAGG